This 460-nucleotide ribosomal RNA is filed under the name uncultured bacterium. Its description in RNAcentral is "partial 16S ribosomal RNA". It matches the Rfam family "Bacterial small subunit ribosomal RNA", at positions 338 to 795 of the family's 1533-position model. The record is from RNAcentral.
CCUACGGGAGGCAGCAGUGAGGAAUAUUGGUCAAUGGGCGCGAGCCUGAACCAGCCAAGUCGCGUGAGGGAAGACGGUCCUAUGGAUUGUAAACCUCUUUUGUCGGGGAGCAAAAGACGCCACGCGUGGCGUUCCGAGAUUACCCGAAGAAAAAGCAUCGGCUAACUCCGUGCCAGCAGCCGCGGUAAUACGGAGGAGGCGAGCGUUUGCCGGAUUUCCUGGGUGUAAAGGGUGGGAUGAGGGCAGGGCAAGUCUGGGGGUAAAGGCAAGGGCCCAACCCCUGGCCUGCUCUGGAAACUGUCCGGCUGGAGUGCAGGAGAGGUAAGUGGAAUUCCUGGUGUAGCGGUGAAAUGCGUAGAUAUUAGGAGGAACACCAGUGGCGAAGGCAGCUUACUGGACUGUAACUGACGUUGAGGCUCGAAAGCGUGGGGAGCAAACAGGAUUAGAUACCCGUGUAGUC